CCUACGGGAGGCAGCAGUGAGGAAUAUUGGUCAAUGGACGAGAGUCUGAACCAGCCAAGUAGCGUGAAGGAUGACUGCCCUAUGGGUUGUAAACUUCUUUUAUAUGGGAAUAAAAUGUUCCACGUGUGGGAUUUUGUAUGUACCAUAUGAAUAAGGAUCGGCUAACUCCGUGCCAGCAGCCGCGGUAAUACGGAGGAUCCGAGCGUUAUCCGGAUUUAUUGGGUUUAAAGGGAGCGUAGGUGGAUUGUUAAGUCAGUUGUGAAAGUUUGCGGCUCAACCGUAAAAUUGCAGUUGAAACUGGCAGUCUUGAGGACAGUAGAGGUGGGCGGAAUUCGUGGUGUAGCGGUGAAAUGCUUAGAUAUCACGAAGAACUCCGAUUGCGAAGGCAGUUCACUGGACUGCAAAUGACACUGAGGCUCGAAAGUGUGGGUAUCAAACAGGAUUAGAUACCCCUGUAGUC
RNAcentral lists this ribosomal RNA (460 nucleotides) under uncultured bacterium. RNAcentral's name for it is "partial 16S ribosomal RNA". It matches the Rfam family "Bacterial small subunit ribosomal RNA", at positions 338 to 795 of the family's 1533-position model. The record is from RNAcentral.